Molecule: microRNA precursor, 60 nt
Filed under: Panagrellus redivivus
Lineage: Eukaryota; Metazoa; Nematoda; Chromadorea; Rhabditida; Panagrolaimidae
Description: microRNA prd-mir-7884 precursor
Source: miRBase by way of RNAcentral
CGUAGGUGCUGAGCGUCAUUUUCAUUUCUUUUUGCAAAUGGCGUCUCAAGGACCUUGCGA